Molecule: non-coding RNA, 592 nt
Organism: Plectropomus leopardus (leopard coralgrouper)
Lineage: Eukaryota; Metazoa; Chordata; Actinopteri; Perciformes; Serranidae
Source: RefSeq, a predicted model, not a curated record
AAACACAUCAGGAAACAGAACAGUGACAAUCAGCUAAACCUUUGCAGAAAUAAUUUUGCUGUUCAUGUGUGAUCAACAUGCAUCCAUGCAUGUAAUAUACAGUUUCCUGUUGGCAUGAAACAGACAGAACACGCCCUGAAAACAUCAAAUACACCAGCAGAGGUCCUCCUCUUCCUGCUACAGGCUGCUGCUGCUUCUGCUGCUGCACCUUAAAAUAUCAAAAGUACUCAUUCUGCAGGACGUCCUCUCUAAAAGCCACAGUCCAGCUAAAUGAAGGACUUACGUCUCUGUUAACAUGUUGACAUGCUGCGCCCUCCUCCUCUACCUGCCGCCUGUUUUCAUGGCCAGACAUUGUCACGCCUCAUGUUGCAGAUCACAGACAGGAUCAUCCGACCCUCCAGAUCGUAGUCAGACACUCUCCAUGUGCUCGGACUCAGUCGUCCAUCAGAACGGGCUGAGGGCAGCGAGAGGGGCAAACACAGGACAGCCACCCUCUUUAAACAUCGACUACUUUUGACCCACAUCUGCAUCCAAAUAGAAGCACGAGGCGAGCAGCAGUCUAUAUUACACAAUAUCAAGGAUGUCUGUCCAU